This 3023-nucleotide ribosomal RNA is filed under the name Yersinia enterocolitica. Its description in RNAcentral is "bacterial LSU rRNA". It matches the Rfam family "Bacterial large subunit ribosomal RNA". Lineage: Bacteria; Pseudomonadati; Pseudomonadota; Gammaproteobacteria; Enterobacterales; Yersiniaceae. The record is from RNAcentral.
GGGUUGUGAGGUUAAGCGACUAAGCGUACACGGUGGAUGCCUAGGCAGUCAGAGGCGAUGAAGGGCGUGCUAAUCUGCGAAAAGCGUCGGUAAGGUGAUAUGAACCGUUAUAACCGACGAUACCCGAAUGGGGAAACCCAGUGCAAUUCGUUGCACUAUUGCAUGGUGAAUACAUAGCCAUGCAAGGCGAACCGGGGGAACUGAAACAUCUAAGUACCCCGAGGAAAAGAAAUCAACCGAGAUUCCCCCAGUAGCGGCGAGCGAACGGGGAGGAGCCCAGAACCUGAAUCAGCAUAUGUGUUAGUGGAAGCGUCUGGAAAGUCGCACGGUACAGGGUGAUAGUCCCGUACACAAAAAUGCAUACGUUGUGAGUUCGAUGAGUAGGGCGGGACACGUGACAUCCUGUCUGAAUAUGGGGGGACCAUCCUCCAAGGCUAAAUACUCCUGACUGACCGAUAGUGAACCAGUACCGUGAGGGAAAGGCGAAAAGAACCCCGGCGAGGGGAGUGAAACAGAACCUGAAACCGUGUACGUACAAGCAGUGGGAGCACCUUCGUGGUGUGACUGCGUACCUUUUGUAUAAUGGGUCAGCGACUUAUAUUUUGUAGCAAGGUUAACCGAAUAGGGGAGCCGUAGGGAAACCGAGUCUUAACUGGGCGAAUAGUUGCAAGGUAUAGACCCGAAACCCGGUGAUCUAGCCAUGGGCAGGUUGAAGGUUGGGUAACACUAACUGGAGGACCGAACCGACUAAUGUUGAAAAAUUAGCGGAUGACUUGUGGCUGGGGGUGAAAGGCCAAUCAAACCGGGAGAUAGCUGGUUCUCCCCGAAAGCUAUUUAGGUAGCGCCUCGUGAACUCAUCUUCGGGGGUAGAGCACUGUUUCGGCUAGGGGGUCAUCCCGACUUACCAAACCGAUGCAAACUCCGAAUACCGAAGAAUGUUAUCACGGGAGACACACGGCGGGUGCUAACGUCCGUCGUGAAGAGGGAAACAACCCAGACCGCCAGCUAAGGUCCCAAAGUCAUGGUUAAGUGGGAAACGAUGUGGGAAGGCACAGACAGCCAGGAUGUUGGCUUAGAAGCAGCCAUCAUUUAAAGAAAGCGUAAUAGCUCACUGGUCGAGUCGGCCUGCGCGGAAGAUGUAACGGGGCUAAACCAUGCACCGAAGCUGCGGCAGCGAACGUAUCACCCAAGACAAUUCACGGCAGUGGAUAAUGAUUGACGGAGCGCAGCGACGUCAAUGCGUCCAAUAAAGUCGAGUUGGCUUAGGGAUACGUUCGUUGGGUAGGGGAGCGUUCUGUAAGCCGUUGAAGGUGACCUGUGAGGGUUGCUGAAGGUAUCAGAAGUGCGAAUGCUGACAUAAGUAACGAUAAUGCGGGUGAAAAACCCGCACGCCGGAAGACCAAGGGUUCCUGUCCAACGUUAAUCGGGGCAGGGUGAGUCGACCCCUAAGGCGAGGCUGAAAAGCGUAGUCGAUGGGAAACAGGUUAAUAUUCCUGUACUUGGUGUUACUGCGAAGGGGGGACGGAGAAGGCUAGGCUAGCCGGGCGACGGUUGUCCCGGUUUAAGCAUGUAGGCGGAGUGACUUGGUAAAUCCGGUUGCUUAUCAACGCUGAGGUGUGAUGACGAGUCACUACGGUGAUGAAGUAGUUGAUGCCAAGCUUCCAGGAAAAGCCUCUAAGCAUCAGGUAACAUUAAAUCGUACCCCAAACCGACACAGGUGGUCAGGUAGAGAAUACUCAGGCGCUUGAGAGAACUCGGGUGAAGGAACUAGGCAAAAUGGUGCCGUAACUUCGGGAGAAGGCACGCUGGCAUUAGGUAAAGGGACUUGCUCCCGGCGCCGAAGCCAGUCGCAGAUACCAGCUGGCUGCAACUGUUUAAUAAAAACACAGCACUGUGCAAACACGAAAGUGGACGUAUACGGUGUGACGCCUGCCCGGUGCUGGAAGGUUAAUUGAUGGGGUCAGCCUUACGGCGAAGCUCUUGAUCGAAGCCCCAGUAAACGGCGGCCGUAACUAUAACGGUCCUAAGGUAGCGAAAUUCCUUGUCGGGUAAGUUCCGACCUGCACGAAUGGCGUAAUGAUGGCCAGGCUGUCUCCACCCGAGACUCAGUGAAAUUGAACUCGCUGUGAAGAUGCAGUGUACCCGCGGCAAGACGGAAAGACCCCGUGAACCUUUACUAUAGCUUGACACUGAACAUUGAGCCUUGAUGUGUAGGAUAGGUGGGAGGCAUUGAAGUGUGGACGCCAGUCUGCAUGGAGCCAACCUUGAAAUACCACCCUUUAAUGUUUGAUGUUCUAACUCGGCCCCAUAAUCUGGGGUGAGGACAGUGUCUGGUGGGUAGUUUGACUGGGGCGGUCUCCUCCCAAAGAGUAACGGAGGAGCACGAAGGUUAGCUAAUCACGGUCGGACAUCGUGAGGUUAGUGCAAAGGCAUAAGCUAGCUUGACUGCGAGAGUGACGGCUCGAGCAGGUACGAAAGUAGGUCUUAGUGAUCCGGUGGUUCUGAAUGGAAGGGCCAUCGCUCAACGGAUAAAAGGUACUCCGGGGAUAACAGGCUGAUACCGCCCAAGAGUUCAUAUCGACGGCGGUGUUUGGCACCUCGAUGUCGGCUCAUCACAUCCUGGGGCUGAAGUAGGUCCCAAGGGUAUGGCUGUUCGCCAUUUAAAGUGGUACGCGAGCUGGGUUUAGAACGUCGUGAGACAGUUCGGUCCCUAUCUGCCGUGGGCGUUGGAAGAUUGAGAGGGGCUGCUCCUAGUACGAGAGGACCGGAGUGGACGAAUCACUGGUGUUCGGGUUGUCAUGCCAAUGGCAUUGCCCGGUAGCUAAAUUCGGAAGAGAUAACCGCUGAAAGCAUCUAAGCGGGAAACUUGCCUCGAGAUGAGUCUUCCCUGGGGCUUUAAGCCCCCUGAAGGAACGUUAAAGACUAUGACGUUGAUAGGCUGGGUGUGUAAGUGCAGCGAUGCAUUGAGCUAACCAGUACUAAUGAUCCGUGAGGCUUAACCUUACAACACCAAAGGUGUUUUG